UUGAGAGAGGGUGGUUUGUGGGGGAAGAUGCGACAUAAAAACGGAGACCAAGAUGACUAGUACCUUUGAGAUAACACAAGAUGUGUUUUACUGCAACCCAAUGAGAUUCGAGAAGAUUAGCCUUAAAUUGACACACUUUGUUGACAUCAAAACACAACUCAAGAUGUGUAAGGGUAGCAUACUGAAGUGCACAGAUAGCGUUUCAGCUAGUGUACUGAAUCGUUGCAAGUAAUCAUAAAAACGGUAAUAUCCAGUGUCGAACUUAAGAAUUACGUUUUACUAUCGAAUUAUAUUUAAUUACCAAAGUUGAACAAAAAAUUCCCAAAUUGAUUGAAAUAAUAUUUAAAAUUAACAACAGUAAUAAAAUUUAUUCUUUAUAAUAAGAAAAAUAUCAGAAAUGAGUUUCACUUCGAAUUCAACUUUGGUGUCUAAUUUGGUCCUAGUUACUGAAUUCUUUUAUUGAAUUAUUACAUAAUUCUCUUUAUUAUUCUUUCUCUAAUGUCUUAGUGACAGAAUCUUUAAUUCCAAAGUAACCUCUAAUUCCUUAGUGGAUUUAAAAUUAGAAUUAAGCCUUACCGUACAAGAAUUCUCUUGUUAAACUAUUACUUUUGCAUCUAAUUUAAUUGGUUUCAAGACCCACAUCUAUCCCUAGACUAUAAAUUCAUGAAUUCCUCAUCUCAAGUAUUCGUAAAGUCCACUUCCGUUUCAAAAUACGAAUCAUAAAGCGUUUUAAUGUUGAUCAAACAAUAAAAAGCAUUAAGCACAGAGAUAGGAAAAAUAAUUCAAUAAACUCAUUCAUAUAACUAGAAAUCAAAUUAGAAAAAUAAGGGUUUCAUCUUAUUACGCUAAUCCCUAACAAAUAGGGUUUAAAUAUUCAUGGUAGAGAUAUAAAAGAUAGGGAUUAAAGAAAAAUUACAAGAAGGAUUCAUGAAUGAUUCUUGAUAAAACUCCUCCAAUGAUGUUAAGAGCAACCGUCUCUGAGUUUCUCUGCUAGGGUAAAGAAGGGCUUGUUUGACUGCUUUGGGUUUAGAAUGGGUAAGAAGCAAAUUAGGUUGUUUUCAAGGUUGUUCAAAAUCGGACUUGACAUGAGUUUUCAUGGGAUGAUCAUUGACAAGUUUAGUAAGAAAUGGUUGAGCAUAAGGUGGAAUAGGAGAGAAAUUAGUGGGAGAUGAAGAUUCAGGAGAAAAGGUAGACGACGAGGGAAGUACAAGACUAGUGUUAGGGGAAGGGGAUCUAAAUGGGAAGAAGGAAUGUUGUGGGAUAUGGAAGGUACAUGAUCAAAAGUGGAAUACUGAGAAGAUGGUUCAUAUAUAAGGGCUGAGAAGGAAAUUGAUGUUGAGGGACCAUAUUUUUGAGGAAAAUUUUCCAGAAGGAAUGAAGAGAGCAAAUAGGUGAAGAGAUGAGCUAAUGUAACACUAGAAGAGGGUGAAGAAGAAACACUAGUGGUGGGAAAAAGGGUUGGAUAAGGAAAUUUGGUUUCAUUAAACAAAAUAUCAUUGGAAAUGCAUAACCUACCGAUAUGGGACAAUCACCUAUUGCCUUUAUGAGAAGGAGAGUACCCCAAGAAUAAAC
This 1572-nucleotide long non-coding RNA is filed under the name Cicer arietinum (chickpea). RNAcentral's name for it is "long non-coding RNA (CARI_LNC000367)". Lineage: Eukaryota; Viridiplantae; Streptophyta; Magnoliopsida; Fabales; Fabaceae. The record is from RNAcentral.